GACGAACGCUGGCGGCGUGCUUAACACAUGCAAGUCGAACGGAAAGGCCCUGCUUGCAGGGUACUCGAGUGGCGAACGGGUGAGUAACACGUGGGUGAUCUGCCCUGCACUUCGGGAUAAGCUUGGGAAACUGGGUCUAAUACCGGAUAGGAACCAUCUUUAGUGUGGUGGUUGGAAAGUUUUUUCGGUGUAGGAUGAGCUCGCGGCCUAUCAGCUUGUUGGUGGGGUAAUGGCCUACCAAGGCGGCGACGGGUAGCCGGCCUGAGAGGGUGUACGGCCACAUUGGGACUGAGAUACGGCCCAGACUCCUACGGGAGGCAGCAGUGGGGAAUAUUGCACAAUGGGCGCAAGCCGGAUGCAGCGACGCCGCGUGGGGGAUGAAGGCCUUCGGGUUGUAAACUCCUUUCGCUAGGGACGAAGCUUUUUGUGACGGUACCUAGAGAAGAAGCACCGGCUAACUACGUG
RNAcentral lists this ribosomal RNA (465 nucleotides) under uncultured bacterium. Its description in RNAcentral is "partial 16S ribosomal RNA". It matches the Rfam family "Bacterial small subunit ribosomal RNA", at positions 28 to 507 of the family's 1533-position model. The record is from RNAcentral.